GAUGAACGCUAGCGGUAUGCUUAACACAUGCAAGUCGUACGGAGAAGCAAUUCUUAGUGGCGAACGGGUGAGUAACGCGUAAGUAUUUGCCUUUAGGAAGAGGAUAACAUUUAGAAAUAAAUGCUAAAACUCUAUAUGCCGUUUGGUGAAAAAAGCAAUUUGCCUAAAGAGAAGCUUGCGUCUGAUUAGCUAGUUGGUGGGGUAAUGGCCUACCAAGGCGACGAUCAGUAGCUGGUCUGAGAGGACGAUCAGCCACACUGGAACUGAGACACGGUCCAGACUCCUACGGGAGGCAGCAGUGAGGAAUUUUCUGCAAUGGGCGAAAGCCUGACAGAGCAAUACCGCGUGAAGGAUGAAGGCCUACGGGUUGUAAACUUCUUUUCUCAAGGAGGAAGAACUGACGUUACUUGAGGAAUAAGCAUCGGCUAACCCUGUGCCAGCAGCCGCGGUAAUACAGGGGAUGCAAGUGUUAUCCGGAAUUAUUGGGCGUAAAGCGUCUGCAGGUUGAUAACUAAGUCUUUUGUUAAAUCUCAGGGCUCAACCCGGAAUCUGCAAAGGAAACUAUUUAUCUUGAGUAUGGUAGAGGUAAGGGGAAUUUCCAGUGGAGCGGUGAAAUGCGUAGAUAUUGGAAAGAACACCAACAGCGAAGGCACCUUACUGGGCCAGUACUGACACUCAGAGACGAAAGCUAGGGGAGCAAACGGGAUUAGAUACCCCGGUAGUCCUAGCUGUAAACGAUGGAUACUAGAUGUUGUGGACUUUCGGGUCUGCAGUGUCGUAGCUAACGCGUUAAGUAUCCCGCCUGGGAAGUAUGCUCGCAAGAGUGAAACUCAAAGGAAUUGACGGGG
Molecule: ribosomal RNA, 848 nt
Filed under: uncultured bacterium
Lineage: Bacteria
Description: bacterial SSU rRNA
Rfam family: Bacterial small subunit ribosomal RNA
Source: RNAcentral